GCUAGCUACAGGCUUAACACAUGCAAGUCGAGGGGUAGCAGGGUAGCAAUACCGCUGACGACCGGCGCACGGGUGAGUAACACGUAUCCAACCUUCCCAUUACUCGGGGAUAGCCUUUCGAAAGAAAGAUUAAUACCCGAUAGUACUUUUUCGAGGCAUCUCGUAAAAAGUUAAAGAUUUAUUGGUAAUGGAUGGGGAUGCGUUCCAUUAGAUUGUUGGUGAGGUAACGGCUCACCAAGUCUUCGAUGGAUAGGGGUUCUGAGAGGAAGGUCCCCCACAUUGGUACUGAGACACGGACCAAACUCCUACGGGAGGCAGCAGUGAGGAAUAUUGGUCAAUGGGCGAGAGCCUGAACCAGCCAAGUAGCGUGAAGGAUGACGG
This 381-nucleotide ribosomal RNA is filed under the name uncultured Bacteroidales bacterium. Its description in RNAcentral is "bacterial SSU rRNA". It matches the Rfam family "Bacterial small subunit ribosomal RNA", at positions 35 to 414 of the family's 1533-position model. Lineage: Bacteria; Pseudomonadati; Bacteroidota; Bacteroidia; Bacteroidales. The record is from RNAcentral.